CCUACGGGGUGCAGCAGUGAGGAAUAUUGGUCAAUGGUCGGGAGACUGAACCAGCCAAGCCGCGUGAGGGAUGAAGGUACAGAGUAUCGUAAACCUCUUUUGUCAGGGAACAAAGGCGGGGACGUGUCCCCGGAGGAGUGUACCUGAAGAAAAAGCAUCGGCUAACUCCGUGCCAGCAGCCGCGGUAAUACGGAGGAUGCGAGCGUUAUCCGGAUUUAUUGGGUUUAAAGGGUGCGCAGGCGGUCUGUUAAGUCAGCGGUCAAAGCCCGGGGCUCAACCCCGGCCCGCCGUUGAAACUGGCAGUCUCGAGUUGGAGAGAGGUAUGCGGAAUGCGCGGUGUAGCGGUGAAAUGCAUAGAUAUCGCGCAGAACUCCGAUUGCGAAGGCAGCAUGCCGGCUCCACACUGACGCUGAGGCACGAAAGCGUGGGUAUCGAACAGGAUUAGAUACCCGAGUAGUC
Molecule: ribosomal RNA, 459 nt
Filed under: uncultured bacterium
Lineage: Bacteria
Description: partial 16S ribosomal RNA
Rfam family: Bacterial small subunit ribosomal RNA
Source: RNAcentral